This 47-nucleotide ribosomal RNA is filed under the name Lactarius albidocinereus. RNAcentral describes it as "partial 28S ribosomal RNA". The record is from RNAcentral. Lineage: Eukaryota; Fungi; Basidiomycota; Agaricomycetes; Russulales; Russulaceae.
UGACCUCAAAUCGGGUGAGACUACCCGCUGAACUUAAGCAUAUCAAA